This 90-nucleotide transfer RNA is filed under the name Sphingomonas sp. RNAcentral's name for it is "tRNA-Ser". It matches the Rfam family "tRNA". Rfam says of the family: Transfer RNA (tRNA) molecules are approximately 80 nucleotides in length. Their secondary structure includes four short double-helical elements and three loops (D, anti-codon, and T loops). The record is from RNAcentral. Lineage: Bacteria; Pseudomonadati; Pseudomonadota; Alphaproteobacteria; Sphingomonadales; Sphingomonadaceae. RNAcentral also lists the same sequence under 14 other names.
GGAGAGGUGCCAGAGUGGUCGAUUGGGACGGUCUCGAAAACCGUUGUGGGUGCAAGCUCACCGUGGGUUCGAAUCCCACCCUCUCCGCCA